CCUUCUCUCCCCACUCCUCCUCUAGGCAGAACCCAGUGGGUGAGCCUCAAAAUCAAGUUGCUGUUCAAGAGAUUUGCCAAGCUGAAUGGCUUCACCGACAAGACAAUCUGGAUUUUGCCAGGCAGGAGGAAUGCAGUCUUGGUGAACCGUAGGUGAGUUGCCGCAGUGCAAAAUGGUGUUUGCAAUGUUCUCUCCUGGAAAUUGACCUUCUUGGUGCCCCCAAGGCAAGGGCCACCAAGAACUCUUUGAAUUCCUCUGGGGUUGAGCUGUUUGAGCUGGUGCUGGAGCUUGCACACAGGUAGGACCAUUCCUUUGGAUACUGCUCUACAGCAGGGACCCCCAGGUAGCAGUUCCCAGGACUCCCAAGGAACAGUGUCCAGACACCCCCAGUGGGAAGUGCCUGGCACUGGAUAUUCCUUAGGGCUUUCUGGGUUUAGGCACCUACUCAGCAAUGGUGGCAUCCUGCAGCAAGGAGCUUCACUCCUGAGCAGCUGCCUCUGCUCUCCCUUUUGCUUGUCAUGCUGAUUCCAUCUUCAGCUGCUCAGCCAGGGGCCGUGGGAGCAUACCAGGGCUGGUGGGGACCAGGCUGGUGCAAUGGGGAUCAGCCCAGACACCAGGGUCCCAAAAACUGAUGGGAGAGAGCAGAAGGGUGUUGGGGCAAAGGAAGUGCUUGGACAGCCUUUGAUGGCUGAGGAGCAGUUUGAGACCAGCAGCUGAUGGCUGCUGGUGAUGCAAGAUCAUCUCUUCGAUUCAUGCUCCUUAUGCUGUUCUAGAUCUUAAAUCUUUGACAAGCCUCCUUGUCCUCCCAGCCUCCCCUCUCACUCUUCUCUCCUUGCCCUGGCCAUGUCCCUGCUGGGGCUGCAUGGCCAGACCUGGACCUCCAUCUCCUGGCAAAGGUGGGGGUACAACUGAGAUUUACAUGGAGCCUUGUCCUUUUCUCUGAUCUUCUAAUAUCUCCUCAUGCUGCCCCCUCUGGCACUCACUGCACGUGGAUGAGAUGUUUUACCUGAUAUCUGUCAGUCAGAACAGUGACCCCUCUGGGUAACUUUCUUCUCUUUCUCUUAGCCACUCUUGGGUGACCAAGUACUGGGACAGGCUGCCCCAAGGGGUUCUGGAGUCAACUCUGGAGGAGCUCAAAAUAUGUCUGGACACAAUCCUGAGUGACUGCUCUGGGGGACUCUGCUUGAGAAAGGAGGUUGGACUGGAUGACCUUCCGGCCUGAAUUAUUCUGUGAUUUAUCUUAGUGAGAUCUUCCCUAACCUAUGCCAGCUUGUCCCCUGCAAGCUUUGAUAGACUUGCCAGGUGACAUGGGGAUGUCCAACACCUAUGUCUUGUUGACUCCUCCAGAGAGGUGUAUUUCUGAGGUGUGAUUUUUCCUGCACACAAGUUGCAUUCAGUCUGCCCUGUGUCAUAGUUUGCCAAGACAUCAACUAAAUCCAGCAUUUAUUGCAGCUUUUGUGAGUAUCUUCUACAUUGUGAGGGGACCUACUUAUCUGUUGUCCCUCUGACCACCUCUGCAGAGCCUGCUACAUUCUCUUCUUAUCAUCUGGUGAAAACUAGAAGGCACCAAAGGGAGUGUAAGUGGCAGAUGGGGGUGCUGCCGUGAUGUUUGAGUUAUUUUGUCUGGAAAUGUCAUCUCCUCCGUCUUACUCACUUGUCCUUGUCCAUUGGCAGGACAGAACUUCAGAAGUGUUUGUGGAGGAGAUUGUCCAUUCUGAGGAUCCACCAGAGCUCCUUCUUGGCCAAGGUGGAUGCAGGGUUUCUUCAUUUUUCUUUGAAUUUAACCAGCUACUUUCAAAUAUUUUCUAGUAUAAAUUCCUGCUGCCAGAGCCUUUGAAGAAAGUGCAGCUGUCAUAUCUCAAAGCAGAGGAGCAAGGUGCCAGAUGCUGGUGUCUUUGUUGUUUGUCUUACAUUGUUGCCUUCAGCUGUCUUCACUCUACCUUCUUCCUCACAUUGGUGCAAGGAGACAGGAAUGGGACACUACUCAGGGACAGAAGUCAUUCCCCUGCUCCAGCAUAGGGUCCCUCCCAUGAACUUCUGAAAUGUCUUCAGGUCCCUGCCAGAAUCCUGCUCCACCAUGGGCUUGCUAUAGGGUCACAGCCUCCUCUCAGGCAUCUCCCUGCUCCAGCAUAGGCUCCUCCAAGAGCUGCAGGUGGAUCUCUGCACUCCUAUGGCAUCCUUGGG
RNA transcript from Haemorhous mexicanus (house finch), 2184 nucleotides. It is a transcript of the gene named lipocalin like 1, with no coding region annotated. Lineage: Eukaryota; Metazoa; Chordata; Aves; Passeriformes; Fringillidae. The record is from RefSeq and is a predicted model, not a curated record. The transcript is spliced from 5 exons.